This is a long non-coding RNA of Hyaena hyaena (striped hyena), 365 nucleotides long. RefSeq lists it as uncharacterized. The transcript is spliced from 3 exons. The record is from RefSeq and is a predicted model, not a curated record. Lineage: Eukaryota; Metazoa; Chordata; Mammalia; Carnivora; Hyaenidae.
CCCCAGGCAGAACUGGGCGAAAGGUGCGGCCUGAGACAUUUCUGAGAACCUGUAAAUGUGCCACCUUACCUGGCACAAGAAAAUGAAGGAUGCAGGUGGAAUUAAGAUUGCUAAUCAGCUGACCUGGAGAUGGUGAGAUGGUCCUGGAAUCUCCCAGUGGUGGGCUCAAGUGGAAGAGACCAUCGGAAGAGGAGAAUCAUAAGGAGAUCUGAAGAUGUUAUGGGCCUAAAGAAGGAAGAGGCCCAUGGGCCAAGGGAUGCAGGUGGCCUCUAGAAGAUGGAGAAGACAACAAUAGGAAUCCAAUCCUGGUGUCUCCAGACCAAACACAGCUCUGCCAACACCUUGAUCUUGGCCCAGUGAGACCC